GACGAACGCUGGCGGCGUGCUUAACACAUGCAAGUCGAGCGAUGAAACACCUUCGGGUGCGGAUUAGCGGCGAACGGGUGAGGAACACGUGAGGAAUCUGCCUCCCACUCUGGGAUAACUCCGGGAAACCGGGGCUAAUACCGGAUACUUUCAACUGGCGGCAUCGCCGGUUGAAGAAAGUUUUUCGGUGGAAGAUGACCUCGCGGCCUAUCAGCUUGUUGGUGAGGUAAAGGCUCACCAAGGCGACGACGGGUAGCCGGCCUGAGAGGGCGACCGGCCACACUGGGACUGAGACACGGCCCAGACUCCUACGGGGGGCAGCAGUGGGGAAUCUUGCGCAAUGGGCGAAAGCCUGACGCAGCAACGCCGCGUGAGGGAAGAAGGCCUUCGGGCUGUAAACCUCUUUCAGUAGGGACGAAGCUUCCGGGGUUAAUAGCCUACGGGGUGACGGUACCUACAGAAGAAGCCCCGGCUA
RNAcentral lists this ribosomal RNA (475 nucleotides) under uncultured bacterium. RNAcentral's name for it is "partial 16S ribosomal RNA". It matches the Rfam family "Bacterial small subunit ribosomal RNA", at positions 28 to 499 of the family's 1533-position model. The record is from RNAcentral.